Gossypium arboreum is the source of this 119-nucleotide non-coding RNA. The record is from Rfam. Lineage: Eukaryota; Viridiplantae; Streptophyta; Magnoliopsida; Malvales; Malvaceae.
UGGUGUGAUCAUAUCAACACUAAUACAUCGGAUUUCAUCAAAACUCUACAGAUAAAUGUAUUUGGACGAGGAUAGUAUUAAGAUGAGUGACAAUAUACGAAGUUCUCGUGUUGUACCUC